CCGGAUUAUAGUCAGUUAGCCACCAGAGCUCGUCUGGAGUACAACUAGUUUCGGCAAAAUGUAAAUAUUCAUCAAAAAUAUCAAAAUUCUCAGUGAAAUGGACGGGAUUUUAUUGACUCACUUUUCUUCACAUACACACACACGCACCUUCGAUAAUUCACACUCUUGAUGAUGAUUUAACCAUUGAUGAUAAAUACCUGAUGAUGUCCCUGAUGACGACCCCUGAUGACACCAUGUAUCCUGAUGAGCAUGGGACCGUAAUGAUGAUUCACACUAAAUGAUGCACACUGAAUGAUGUACAACGAUAUGUACUUAACUGGUGCACGCUUGCUUGUGCCUAACCUUGAUAAUCUACUACUAACUUGAUGAUAUACAACACUGGAUGUAGCACGCUUUUCCUUUCACCGAUGAUGUACGCCUGAAGUACACUCUUGAGCAUUGUUUUCUAUGACGACGGGGAAACAAUUAUAAUUGUAUUUGGUUUUAUCGAAGGAACCGAAGCAUUAUUGAAAGGGUGUCGAGAUUUUGAUCAUGAUUGCCAGCUGACAGCCACUACCCGGUCGAACUACUACUGCCUAUUACUUAAACAUAAUGGAGGUCGAUUUUUCGUUUCGCCAAAUUCGUUCACUGAUUAAUAUAUGACGAUAUAAAUAUAUUCUACUGCAACCCAAACGAAGGCUUAGGGACACACUAUAGGGAGAGCUGAUGGUACCGGUCCCGCUGGACGCGUAGCUUGCAUCGCUUCUCCCCACGAUGAUUAUGAUGAUUAUGAUAAUAUGCCAUUCGCAAUUACCAAUAGGAUGUAAUUGUUUACUUUAAUUGUUCCAUUAAAACCAAUGAGCCCGAUUAAGCCUUCUUGGUCUAGCCUGGAUAAAAAA
Molecule: small RNA, 878 nt
Filed under: Drosophila ananassae
Lineage: Eukaryota; Metazoa; Arthropoda; Insecta; Diptera; Drosophilidae
Description: GF27047
Source: RNAcentral